CGGACGGGUGAGUAAUGUCCGGGAAACUGCCUGAUGGAGGGGGAUAACUACUGGAAACGGUAGCUAAUACCGCAUAACGUCUUCGGACCAAAGUGGGGGACCUUCGGGCCUCACGCCAUCGGAUGUGCCCAGAUGGGAUUAGCUAGUAGGUGGGGUAAUGGCUCACCUAGGCGACGAUCCCUAGCUGUCUGAGAGGAUGACCAGCCACACUGGAACUGAGACACGGUCCAG
Molecule: ribosomal RNA, 231 nt
Filed under: uncultured bacterium
Lineage: Bacteria
Description: partial 16S ribosomal RNA
Rfam family: Bacterial small subunit ribosomal RNA
Source: RNAcentral